UUGGAUGGGGCCUGGGCGGCCUGAGAUGGUGGGGGGCAACCAGCCCAUGGCAGGGGUUGGAGCUGGGUGGGCUUUGAAGUCCCUUCCAACACAAGCCGUUCUGUGAUUCUAUGAUCCUCUGCCACGCAGUUCUCUAGCAAGAGACCAGAUUUUCCCAAUGUGUUGACUGUAAGAGGAAUAAAAAGGGGAAAAAAAGAAAUGUGGGAAAUUCAGGGAGACUGAACAUGAUACACAUGGAAGGGACCAAGUAAAUUAUGUGGUUCUACUGAGUAACAGACUUUUGUGCAUUACAACAUACAGCUUGAUGUGAGGUUUAUAACUAUAUCUUCUGUUUAAAGAUUUCAGAGACGUACAUUUUAUUGCAUUAUUUUAUACUAUGUACACUAAUAAGAGGAAAAAGGAAAGCUUUUUCUCCAAAAUGAGCGAGUGCAUUGCAAUCAGGAGUACAAUCCUCUUCCUCAUUUAGAAUAACUCACCGGGUGUAUUCUCCUGUAGGAAGCGACAGACCCAAGAGAUGGAACACCUCCCCCAUGAGGACAGGCUGCGAGCUGGGGCUGUUCAGCCUGGAGAAGGGAAAGCUCCAGGGAGACCUGAGAGCAGCCUUUCAGUAUCUGAACUCUCUGCAGACCCUCAUUACUUAAAAUAGCUCCUCCAAAAAAUGUCACUUUGCAAUAUAACCUCUCACACUUCUUUUAUUCUGCUGCUCCCUGUUUUCUCACAGGAGUGAUGACCUCUCUUUCUUCACACCUGGCUCAGGUGGUCUCCUGGGAAAGAAGCAGCUGUGUAGAAGAAGCAGCCAGCAAACAGUCUCAUCUGCUAGGAGAUGUUAACAGGCCCAAAGACCAAGCAGCAUUGUUCAAGGAGAUGCAGGGUGCCCUAGUCACGAUUCUUGCUCUUAUCACAUCUGCUCAUCGUGUAUCCUGUCCUAAAUGCUAGAGGAAAGUAUUCACAAUUCACGUGUUUUAUACACAGUCAAGGCUUCAUUGUUUGUGCUCCAUUUUCUGUCAGAGCCACAGGUACUCUAAAAUAAGAUAGAUAUACGUCCAGCAGAUAUUCCCUGGAAAUGUUAAUCUGUAUUCCUGCUUCUUUAUAUCCCCAUUUUUGUGAGUGUGCCUCUGAUUGCUGGGUUUUGUGGCUUUACUGUAAUAGAAAUGUGUAGUAUUUUAUAAAUGGUGAAGGGCAUUUAUGGGUCUGAGAGUUGCGUCUGGGCUGGGCUUCCUCCACUUGCCCUUUUUCAUUUUCUCAUGGUUCUUUGUGCUUCGCCAAAAUUUAGUAUAUGAUAUAAAUCUGUGGGGAAAAAAAAAAAGAAAGCAUGCUAGAAGAAUAAAUCAUUCUAAAUUGGUCACAGCAGUUCUCAGAGUCCUUUCUUGGUGUGGCAAAGGCCAACACACAGAGAACACAAUGUGUUCCAGUUCUGGGAGGAGUUUGCAUUCCCCUGCAACACUGGCAAGUAACCUCUUUCAAUCAUCCUUAAAGCUGGCCUUGUGAAUUGCAACCUUUUUUUUUUUAGUUUUGCUUUUUUUUUUUUUUCCCAGUUCUCCUCUAUCUCUCUUUGUCUUCUUGUUCUGUCCAUUUCCAAUGAAAUAUUUUUUUCUGUCUUCUUCAAAUAUCUUAUUUUUAAUAUAGCGUUUCCAGCUCCCUGGAAAUUCUGCUCUUUUCCACUUUGAUUGACAGCCUCAUGUUUCCUUUCACACCCUCCUCCAUCACAGAUUUUUUUUUUGGCUGCAGCUUCCCCAAUGCUUUAAACAGACCUACUGCUGCCUUCUCUGAGAAAGUGUUGAAAUUUUUUUUCCAAUUUCAAACAGCUUUCCUUUUUAUAGCAUUUGCUAGCAGCACUGCAGUUACGGCUGAGCUCACACUUCCAACUGAAGACAACUAGGAGCCAGGAUUGCAAAUACCAGACAGGGCUUUUCUAACCUUUAUCUUUAUUGAUCUUUCAUACGAAAUGAAAAGGGAGAUGAUAAGGGCUGUAAUGCAAUUUCAUUGUUAGAUCAUUACAGAAACUUUUCAGGGUAUCACAGUGCGAGGAAAAGACGUUUUGAAUUUUGAGUGCGUUUAGCUGUCAUGAUGCACUCUUGGGUCCUCAUUCCAAUGUUGCUAGAUAAGAUGCACAGACAACAAAAAUAGUACAUAGAAUUUAUUCAUUUAUGAAACUUAAUUAUUUCUGUCUUUAUUUCCUUGGCUUUCAGUGAUCCCAGAUAGGACAUUUAUCUCAGGAGUUCCUGCUUCACUCCAGUGGUCAGUGGAGGCCAGUAUCAAUGGCAGCUCAUCCCAGGGUACAGACCUUGCUGAGAGCACAUAAGGUGAGGAUUCCCUGCUGCUGUUCUGUGAUCGGACAGGCCCAUACUCCAGCAUCAGAUCAAGACGUGCCCAAACUUUUGGAACUGGGCUGCAAGCAGAUUUGGGAAAUGCUCAGUAGUCUCACAGUGAAUAGGAAUAUGAGUCCUGUGGUGGAGCGCAAAAUCCGGGACUGAAUUUAGCAGCUUGAGUCAUUUUCUGAACUCAGAGAAAAAUAUGAAGAGAAAUCCAAUGUUCUCCUGCACAAGCGGCCUCUGUAGGAAUUUCUUAAGCUCACAGAUCAAAUUCAAAAUGAGAAAGGAACCUGGUUUUUUGUUUAAUCCAGAUGUGUUGUAGCUCAGUACAAUGGAAGUAUAGCCAGUCAAGAAGAUUUUGUGAGCUCAUUUAAUUCAUUCUUCUGCUGUUAAGAAGAUGGUGAAAAUGAAGAAUUAGUCAAAACAGUC
This is a long non-coding RNA of Numida meleagris (helmeted guineafowl), 2741 nucleotides long. RefSeq lists it as uncharacterized. NCBI's taxonomy places the organism in Eukaryota, Metazoa, Chordata, Aves, Galliformes, Numididae. The transcript has 2 exons. The record is from RefSeq and is a predicted model, not a curated record.